Entelurus aequoreus (snake pipefish) is the source of this 3236-nucleotide long non-coding RNA. RefSeq lists it as uncharacterized. NCBI's taxonomy places the organism in Eukaryota, Metazoa, Chordata, Actinopteri, Syngnathiformes, Syngnathidae. The transcript has 3 exons. The record is from RefSeq and is a predicted model, not a curated record.
AGUGUGAAGGCUGCAGCAGGCAUCAUCACGGGACACCGAAUGAGUAAAUAAAACACGUUGCUUUACUCGCCUUCAGCAGUUAAUAGGGCGGCCCUGCUGAUCAAAAGAAUAUUAGCUUUGAUUAAUCAAUCAAUACCCCGGUGGCCUCCGUCCUGUCCAUUGAUCUGCAUCGCUGUAUGGAGGUCAGCGUCGGGCUCAGCGGCAUGUGAAACACUCGGCUGUGUUUUUCACACUGGCCCGCUCAAACGAAAAUCCGCCCUCAUUGAUUUUCCUUUCAUUUCCCUCCUUUUGCCUUUUUAAAAUGUUCUCCUCUCGCUCGCACCGAGGGAAGUUGCAGUGGGAGUUUUAGGCGUAAGUUGGAAAGCAAGUCAACACUGGUGAAGUUUCGUAAAGCUUCUGCAACUAGCGGGUCCAUGACGAUGACUUCUGUUUUGUUUGAUCAGUUGUUUUACUGCCGUGUGACAGGAACCGUUUGGAAACAAUUAAGGUGAAGACGUGGUCGUUAGCAUUCCCACACACGCUCAUAAUGUAAGGUAACGUAGUAGGAAUGAUGCUGAUCUUUAUCCCAUUUCGGACAUUUCCUGAAAGUUUGAUGAAAAUCUGCCCAUACCUUUUUGAGCUAUCUACAGCAGAAUGAAAGUGAACACUCUGGUCAGUCAUCCAUCUUUUUUUUACCGUGGGGCCGUGAGCAAACAAACACAGAGAAACAUGAAUAAAAGGUGGAAAUUAUCCAGAUCAGCUACAAAAUCUAAACUUCUGUUUCUUAUCCCAUUACAGAGAGGAGCAACGUUCAUAUAUUUUCAAUAUUCAGUGUUGUAUUGAUCAUUAGUAAUAUUGUAAAUCCCUCAUUAUGUAUUCUCAUGUACAUUUUGAAUGCCUCGGUUAUAAUGUCGAACAAGGAAAAACAAAAAAGUGAUGUCCUUUUUGUCAGUUUAAUGACAUGCAACUAGUGCGCUGCAAAAACUAAAGUCCAAUUAUUAUCAACUCUUUCUUGGUUUUUUUUUCCUAAAAAGAAAAAAAAAGUUUUAUCUUGCAAUUUUACACAGAAAAGAAAAUAUACUUACACAGAAAGUAUAUCUUGCCUAAUUCUUAAAAGGAUAUUUUCGGCCAGAAAUUUCUAUUUUUUUUACAAGCUGAAAAUUUGAAUUAUUCCUCAACAACAAAUGUGUCUUAAAGUGCCAGCAGAGUGGAACAACAAGUUGACUUUAUAUACUUAAUUGUGUUUCAUUGUAUCCAUCAAAGCGUAUCUAAUUGUAUUUACAAUCAGCGAAGCAGGUGAAAAUACCGUCUACACAUCACAUACAAUAUUCCGCUCCGAAAGUCUUCGUCAUUUUUCGUAAGAUAUGCAAGUUGGGUUAAUGGAGACUAUAAAUUGUAUUAAAAUGACAGGCUGCAGGUGUCUAUUUUUUAGAUUGAUCUCUCCUCUUUACAUAGUGUACAUAGGACUAAUUGUAUUUAUGCUUAAAAGAAGCAUAUGAGAACAAAUUAUAAUUGUACGAGCACAUAUUUCUUAUCAAUGAAGAAAAAUACACAAUUUAGAAUAUGUAAUAAGAUUUUGUUCAAAUCUAGCCUCAAAAAAAUACAUUUGAUCUUAAUUUAGGAGGCUAGUAGUUAAAGGUGCCAUAUGUAGUAAUGUGGCCAGAAAUGGUACUGCAAUCCCGGUCAAAAUUCUGUAGUCCCCUCCCACUCUCCAUGACUGAGGUUGCCAGAUACGCAGCCGAAUCCAGUGCUUUGCUCCUAAGCAUUCGUUGCAAGAACAUACUAGCUUUGUUAGACAAGGUCAUAGACUGUAUUGGACAAUAUAGUUUACAUACGAAAUGUCCAUUUCCAUUUAUUACAAGUAAUAAGAACACGUAAAUGCCUUACUUACCUGUCAAGGAGGAAAUUAGCAAGUUUGGUGUCAGAUGAAAAAAUAUUUUCCUCCUUCAAUCGUCUCCAUCUUUCAAAGGCAUCCCUGAUACAAAUCCUUGUUUUGUUCCUGGCUUUGUCAUGAAUAAGUUGAGAAUCCUAACAACUUCUUUUAGAUUUACUAAGGUCUGACAUGUUUAGUAACUUUACCAGUGGCAGAAAGCUCGACGAAGAGGGCGGUGCCUAAAUGGCAACCUGGAUGUGACACACACACUGACUUUUAAAUUGGUCAAAUGAUGGAGGACAGGGCAUCGAAAUGAAAACAAUAACACUAUUUCGGGGCUGUAAAUCUAUAUAAAGGUAUUCAAAAAGAACAUGAUUUAUUAAUGCUUUUUGACAUAUCAGGGCCAUUUAAUGAUGACUUGGCAUGAAAUUAUUACAUAUGGCACCUUUAAGAAAAUGUGGCUUAAUCUUGCCUCAUAAUAAGGACUUUUUUCUUAAACUUAAACCUGAUUUAUUAUUUUAGAAUUUGUUGUAUUCCUAAAGUCACGAGAAAAGUAUUCUGGUUUUUAAAAUUCGAACCAAGAACAUUUUGCUUACCUCUUUAGUAGAUUUGUUAUUUAUUUUGCUUGGAAAAAAAAGUUUGAGAUCAUUUGGGCUUGUUUCGAGUUUGGCUGCUUUUGCAGUGGUGUGUAUUUUUUUUAAUCUGUAUUCUUUUAUCUGUAUUCUUCUGCCAUGUGCUUGUAACGACAGUGGAUUCCUGCAAAUAAUAAAAGUAAAUGAAUAAAAUAACGGGUACAGGCAUAAAAAGCCCUAAAAAUGCACAUAAAGAAACAAUCACAUGCAUUCAGUCCAAAACGUGCAGUUACACAAGCCGUCCUGUCAAAGCUUCUUCCUGCUGGAACAUUUUGCAUGAGUUGGCUUGGGAGAAAGCGCCUUCUUCUGCAGCAGUCUUCGUUUUGUCCCUGCAGAUAGCGCCAUCAAACCACUUUCUACCCAAGUUAUGAAAAAAAAGACAAUUUAAAGCGGCGAUAAAAGGCUGAACCGCUAAAAAGCGGGAAUCUAUACAGUAGUUUUCUUUUUGUGCAGUCCUAAUAGUUUAUGGAAGUGCGUUGAAUGGGCUGUGCUUGUGUACCCUGUGCAAUGCCAGUUAGAAGGACUUUAAUGCACAAACGCAGCAGUGAGCAGCCUCCUUUGAUCAAAGCAAAGAGCAGAGGGGAAAACUGAUGGCUUGCGCAUCACCUGCAAUUAGUGUCAUGCGUCUACAUGUAUCAGGGUGUCAAAACCGUGGAAACAUUGCCUUAGGCCAUGUAGGCAAACGAGCAACAUUCUGUUUGUGUUUGGCAGCUAAUGCUCGUGCACAACAGUCCCAAGAACAGUCAGCGACU